This 253-nucleotide ribosomal RNA is filed under the name uncultured bacterium. Its description in RNAcentral is "partial 16S ribosomal RNA". It matches the Rfam family "Bacterial small subunit ribosomal RNA", at positions 524 to 776 of the family's 1533-position model. The record is from RNAcentral.
UACGUAGGGUGCGAGCGUUGCCCGGAUUUAUUGGGCGUAAAGGGCGCGUAGGCGGCCACGCACGUCCGUUGUGAAAUCGCCCGGCUCAACUGGGCGGGGUCAGUGGAUACUGCCGGGCUAGAGUCCGGAAGAGGCGAGUGGAACUCCUGGUGUAGCGGUGGAAUGCGCAGAUAUCAGGAAGAACACCAACGGCGAAGGCAGCUCGCUGGGACGGUACUGACGCUGAGACGCGAAAGCGUGGGGAGCGAACAGG